GCAAGUCGAGCGAGAAAGGGAACUUCGGUUCCCAAGUACAGCGGCGGACGGGUGAGUAACACGUGGGUAAUCUACCCUCGGGUGUGGAAUAACUCAGGGAAACCUGGGCUAAUACCGCAUGACAUUCUCAUUACAUACGUAGAGAGAAUCAAAGCUGGGGACCCUUUCGGGGGCCUGGCGCCUGGGGAGGAGCCCGCGGCCAAUUAGCUUGAUGGUGAGGUAACGGCUCACCAUGGCUUCGAUUGGUAGCCGGCCUGAGAGGGCGGAC
This 268-nucleotide ribosomal RNA is filed under the name uncultured bacterium. RNAcentral describes it as "partial 16S ribosomal RNA". It matches the Rfam family "Bacterial small subunit ribosomal RNA", at positions 57 to 305 of the family's 1533-position model. The record is from RNAcentral.